RNAcentral lists this ribosomal RNA (687 nucleotides) under uncultured cyanobacterium. RNAcentral describes it as "bacterial SSU rRNA". It matches the Rfam family "Bacterial small subunit ribosomal RNA", at positions 56 to 776 of the family's 1533-position model. The record is from RNAcentral. Lineage: Bacteria; Bacillati; Cyanobacteriota.
UGCAGUCGUACGAGAGUUUUUAACUCUAGUGGCGGACGGGUGAGUAACACGCUGAGAAUUUACCUUUAGGAGGGGGAUAACAAUUGGAAACGACUGCUAAUACCCCAUAUGCUUUUGAGUGAAAUGGAUUUAUAUUUAUCCGCCUAGAGAGAAGCUCGCGGCUGAUUAGCUUGUUGGUAAGGUAAGAGCUUACCAAGGCGACGAUCAGUAUCUGGUUUGAGAGGACGAUCAGACACACUGGAACUGAGACACGGUCCAGACUCCUACGGGAGGCAGCAGUGGGGAAUUUUCCGCAAUGGGCGAAAGCCUGACGGAGCAAUACCGCGUGAGGGAAGACUGCCUAUGGGUUGUAAACCUCUUUUUUCAGGGAGGAAUAAAAUGACGUGUACCUGAAGAAUAAGCAUCGGCUAACUCCGUGCCAGCAGCCGCGGUAAGACGGAGGAUGCAAGUGUUAUCCGGAAUCACUGGGCGUAAAGCGUCUGUAGGUGGUUUGAUAAGUCAACUGUUAAAUCUUGAGGCUCAACUUCAAAAUCGCAGUCGAAACUAUUAGACUAGAGUAUAGUAGAGGUAAAGGGAAUUUCCAGUGGAGCGGUGAAAUGCGUAGAUAUUGGAAAGAACACCGAUGGCGAAAGCACUUUACUGGGCUAUUACUAACACUCAGAGACGAAAGCUAGGGUAGCAAAUGGG